This 76-nucleotide transfer RNA is filed under the name Flavobacteriales bacterium. RNAcentral describes it as "tRNA-Lys". It matches the Rfam family "tRNA". From Rfam's summary of the family: Transfer RNA (tRNA) molecules are approximately 80 nucleotides in length. Their secondary structure includes four short double-helical elements and three loops (D, anti-codon, and T loops). The record is from RNAcentral. Lineage: Bacteria; Pseudomonadati; Bacteroidota; Flavobacteriia; Flavobacteriales.
GUUUCGGUAGCUCAGUUGGUAGAGCAAUUGACUCUUAAUCAAUGGGUCGUGGGUUCGAGCCCCACCCGGAACACUA